UCACGGGUUGUUGCUGGUCCUCAACGGGGANAUGUGCACGCUCUGUUUACACAUCCACUCACACCUGUGCACCCUCCGUAGUUCUGUGGUCUGGGGGACCCUGUCUUCCUGCCGUGGUUCUACGUCUUUACACACACACUGUAAUAAAGUCUUAUGGAAUGUAUGCCGCGUCUAACGCAAUACAAUACAACUUUCAGCAACGGAUCUCUUGGCUCUCGCAUCGAUGAAGAACGCAGCGAAAUGCGAUAAGUAAUGUGAAUUGCAGAAUUCAGUGAAUCAUCGAAUCUUUGAACGCACCUUGCGCCCCUUGGCUAUUCCGAGGGGCAUGCCUGUUUGAGUAUCAUGAACACCUCAACUCUCAUGGUUUGCCGUGAUGAGCUUGGACUCUGGGGGUUUUGCUGGCCUGCGGUCGGCUCCCCUCAAAUGAAUCAGCCUCCCAGUGUUUGGUGGCAUCACGGGUGUGAUAAAUAUCUACGCUCGCAGUUGUCCGCCAGGUAACCUUUGGUAACAAAGGUUCGCUGGAGCUCACAGAUGUCUCUCCUCAGCGAGGACAGCUUUUUGAACGUUCGAUCUCAAAUCAGGUAGGACUACCCGCUGAACUUAAGCAUAUCAAUAAGCGGAGGAAAAGAAACUAACAAGGAUUCCCCUAGUAACUGCGAGUGAAGCGGGAAGAGCUCAAAUUUAAAAUCUGGCGUGCCUCUGGUCGUCCGAGUUGUAGUCUAGAGAAGCGUUUUCCGUGCUGGACCGUGUAC
RNAcentral lists this ribosomal RNA (752 nucleotides) under uncultured Tomentella. RNAcentral describes it as "eukaryotic LSU rRNA". The stretch from base 189 to 343 matches the Rfam family "5.8S ribosomal RNA". The record is from RNAcentral. Lineage: Eukaryota; Fungi; Basidiomycota; Agaricomycetes; Thelephorales; Thelephoraceae.